RNAcentral lists this ribosomal RNA (1103 nucleotides) under uncultured euryarchaeote. RNAcentral describes it as "bacterial SSU rRNA". It matches the Rfam family "Archaeal small subunit ribosomal RNA", at positions 345 to 1329 of the family's 1478-position model. The record is from RNAcentral. Lineage: Archaea; Methanobacteriati; Methanobacteriota.
AAACUUUACAAUACACGCAAGUGUGAUAAGGGAACCCCAAGUGCCAAUACUUUGUAUUGGCUUUUGCCAAGAGCAAAUAUCUUGGAGAAUAAGUGGUGGGCAAUACCUGUGCCAGCCGCCGCGGUAACCCAGGAGCCACAAGUGGCAACCGCUUUUAUUGGGCCUAAAGCGUCCGUAGCCGGCUUUGUAAAUCUUCUGUGAAAUUGUUGCGCUUAACGUAACAGCGAGCAGAAGACACUGCAAAGCUUGGGACCGGGAGGGGUUAGAGGUAUUUCAGGGGGAGCGGUAAAAUGCUAUAAUCCCUGAAGGACCACCUGUGGCAAAGGCGUCUAACUAGAACGGAUCCGACGGUGAGGGACGAAAGCUAGGGGAGCAAUCCGGAUUAGAUAUCAAAAAUUCUGCGAAUUUUUGGACUUUGUCUCGCAAAUGCUCGACAAAGUAUCGAAAAUCCUCAUGAUUGCAAUAAAAUUACUAUGGGGAGAAGUAGAGGCUAUCAGAAUUUUUGACUAAUUACCCGAGUAGUCCUAGCUGUAAACUCUGCGAGCUAGGUGUUGCAUAAUCUUAGGGAUUAUGCAGUGUCGUAGUGAAGAUGUUAAGCUCGCCGCCUGGGGAGUACGGUCGCAAGGCUGAAACUUAAAGGAAUUGGCGGGGGAGCACUACAAGGGGUGCGGCGUGCGGUUUAAUCCAAUUCAACACGGAGAAUCUCACCAGGAGCGACGGCAGGAUGAAGGACAGUCUAAAGGGCUUUCCUGACGAGCCGAGAGGUAGUGCAUGGCCGUCGUCAGCUCGUGCCGUAAGGUGUCCUGUUAAGUCAGGCAACGAGCGAGACCUGUACUUACAAUUGCUAACGGGUCCAGCAAUGGAUGACUGAGCACAUUGUAAGGACUGCCUUCGAAAGGAGGAGGAAGGUGCAGGCAACGGUAGGUCUGUACGCUCCGAAUCUUCUGGGCUACACGCGCGCAACAAUGGUAGGGACAAUGGGAUGCAACACCGAAAGGUGAAGCCAAUCCUCGAAACCCUAUCUUAGUUCAAAAUUGUGGGGUUGGAACUCACCCCACUUGAAGUCCGGAAUCCCUAAGUAAUCAGAACUUUAUCAAGAGUCC